UCGAGGAUCUUCCGCAAUGGGCGAAAGCCUGACGGAGCGACGCCGCGUGUGGGAUGAAGGCCUUCGGGUUGUAAACCACUGUAACCUGUUACGAAAGGGUCCGGUGUUAACAGCAUCGGAAACUGACGAAGGCAGGAGAGUAAGCCACGGCUAACUUCGUGCCAGCAGCCGCGGUAAGACGAAGGUGGCGAGCGUUGUUCGGAAUCACUGGGCAUAAAGCGCACGUAGGCGGCGUCGUAAGUUGGGUGUGAAAUCCCUCGGCCCAACCGAGGAACUGCGCCCAAGACUGCGAUGCUUGAGGACCAAAGGGGUGAUCGGAAUUUCCGGUGGAGCGGUGAAAUGCGUUGAUAUCGGAAGGAACGUCGGCGGCGAAAGCGGAUCACUGGUUGGUUACUGACGCUGAGGUGCGAAAGCCAGGGGAGCAAACGGGAUUAGAUACCCCGGUAGUCC
RNAcentral lists this ribosomal RNA (450 nucleotides) under uncultured bacterium. RNAcentral's name for it is "bacterial SSU rRNA". It matches the Rfam family "Bacterial small subunit ribosomal RNA", at positions 355 to 796 of the family's 1533-position model. The record is from RNAcentral.